GACCGCGUAGCUCAGUUGGAAGAGCAUUGGGCUAGCAUUCCAAAGGUCGUAGGUUCGAUUCCGACCGUUGCCC
RNAcentral lists this transfer RNA (73 nucleotides) under Paramuricea clavata. It matches the Rfam family "tRNA". From Rfam's summary of the family: Transfer RNA (tRNA) molecules are approximately 80 nucleotides in length. Lineage: Eukaryota; Metazoa; Cnidaria; Anthozoa; Malacalcyonacea; Plexauridae. The record is from Rfam by way of RNAcentral.